GGAUGCGAUUAUACCAGCACUAAAGCACCGGAUCCCAUCAGAACUCCGAAGUUAAGCGUGCUUGGGCGAGAGUAGUACUAGGAUGGGUGACCCCCUGGGAAGUCCUCGUGUUGCAUUCC
This 119-nucleotide ribosomal RNA is filed under the name Aegilops tauschii subsp. strangulata. Lineage: Eukaryota; Viridiplantae; Streptophyta; Magnoliopsida; Poales; Poaceae. The record is from RNAcentral.